UACGUAGGGGGCAAGCGUUAUCCGGAUUUACUGGGUGUAAAGGGAGCGCAGACGGCAGUGCAAGUCUGAUGUGAAAGCCCGGGGCUCAACCCCGGAACUGCAUUGGAAACUGUACAGCUUGAGUGUCGGAGAGGUAAGCGGAAUUCCUAGUGUAGCGGUGAAAUGCGCAGAUAUCAGGAGGAACACCAAUGGCGAAGGCAGGUCUCUGGGCCACUACUGACGCUGAGAAGCGAAAGCAUGGGGAGCGAACAGGAUUAGA
Molecule: ribosomal RNA, 259 nt
Filed under: uncultured prokaryote
Description: partial 16S ribosomal RNA
Rfam family: Bacterial small subunit ribosomal RNA
Source: RNAcentral